RNAcentral lists this ribosomal RNA (376 nucleotides) under uncultured organism. RNAcentral describes it as "bacterial SSU rRNA". It matches the Rfam family "Bacterial small subunit ribosomal RNA", at positions 526 to 896 of the family's 1533-position model. The record is from RNAcentral.
CGGGGGGAGCAAGCGUUGUUCGGAUUUACUGGGCGUAAAGGGCGCGUUAGGCGGCCACCGCAGGUCGACUGUGAAAUCUCCGGGCUUAACCCGGAAAGGUCAGCCGAUACUGCGGGGCUAGAGUGCAGAAGGGGCAACUGGAAUUCUCGGUGUAGCGGUGAAAUGCGUAGAUAUCGAGAGGAACACCUGCGUCGAAGGCGGGUUGCUGGGCUGACACUGACGCUGAUGCGCGAAAGCUAGGGGAGCGAACGGGAUUAGAUACCCCGGUAGUCCUAGCCUUAAACGAUGAAUGCUUGGUGUCUGGGGUUUUAUAGUCCCCGGGUGCCGUCGCUAACGCUUUAAGCAUUCCGCCUGGGGAGGUACGGUCGCAAGACUG